RNAcentral lists this ribosomal RNA (301 nucleotides) under uncultured bacterium. RNAcentral describes it as "partial 16S ribosomal RNA". It matches the Rfam family "Bacterial small subunit ribosomal RNA", at positions 509 to 807 of the family's 1533-position model. The record is from RNAcentral.
CAGCCGCCGCGGUAAUACGGAGGGUGCAAGCGUUAUCUGGAUUUAUUGGGUUUAAAGGGUCCGUAGGCGGAUCUGUAAGUCAGUGGUGAAAUCUCACAGCUUAACUGUGAAACUGCCAUUGAUACUGCAGGUCUUGAGUAAAUUUGAAGUGGCUGGAAUAAGUAGUGUAGCGGUGAAAUGCAUAGAUAUUACUUAGAACACCAAUUGCGAAGGCAGGUCACUAAGAUUUAACUGACGCUGAUGGACGAAAGCGUGGGGAGCGAACAGGAUUAGAUACCCCAGUAGUCCCUGUCUCUUAUAC